Molecule: ribosomal RNA, 570 nt
Filed under: uncultured bacterium
Lineage: Bacteria
Description: bacterial SSU rRNA
Rfam family: Bacterial small subunit ribosomal RNA
Source: RNAcentral
AUUAGCUAGAUGGUAAGGUAACGGCUUACCAUGGCUACGAUGUCUAGGGGUUCUGAGAGGAAGAUCCCCCACACUGGAACUGAGACACGGUCCAGACUCCUACGGGAGGCAGCAGUGAGGAAUAUUGGACAAUGGAUGGAAAUCUGAUCCAGCCAUGCCGCGUGCAGGAAGACGGCCCUAUGGGUUGUAAACUGCUUUUAUAUGGGAGCAAUAAGACCUACGUGUAGGUUGAUGAGAGUACCAUAUGAAUAAGCACCGGCUAACUCCGUGCCAGCAGCCGCGGUAAUACGGAGGGUGCAAGCGUUAUCCGGAUUUAUUGGGUUUAAAGGGUGCGUAGGCGGUUUGAUAAGUCAGCGGUGAAAUAUUUCAGCUUAACUGGAAGGGUGCCGUUGAUACUGUCAGGCUUGAAUUUAGUUGCUGUGGGUGGAAUGUGUGGUGUAGCGGUGAAAUGCAUAGAUAUCACACAGAAUAUCGAUUGCGAAGGCAGCUCACAAAGCUAAUAUUGACGCUGAUGCACGAAAGUGUGGGGAUCAAACAGGAUUAGAUACCCUGGUAGUCCACACUGUAAAC